AUAGGUGUGCUGGAAUUGGUAGACAGGUUCCGUUUAGGCCGGAAUGGUUUAAAAACUGUACAAGUUCAAGUCUUGUCAUCUAUA
Neurospora tetrasperma FGSC 2509 is the source of this 84-nucleotide non-coding RNA. NCBI's taxonomy places the organism in Eukaryota, Fungi, Ascomycota, Sordariomycetes, Sordariales, Sordariaceae. The record is from Rfam.